Molecule: ribosomal RNA, 464 nt
Filed under: uncultured bacterium
Lineage: Bacteria
Description: partial 16S ribosomal RNA
Rfam family: Bacterial small subunit ribosomal RNA
Source: RNAcentral
GACGAACGCUGGCGGCGUGCUUAACACAUGCAAGUCGAACGGAAAGGCCCCUUUGGGGGUACUCGAGUGGCGAACGGGUGCGUAACACGUGAGUAACCUGCCCUUGACUUCGGGAUAACUUCAGGAAACUGGGGCUAAUACCGGAUAGGAAUCCUUGCUGCAUGGUGGGGGUUGGAAGGCUUCGGCGGUUUUGGAUGGACUCGCGGCUUAUCAGCUUGUUGGUGGGGUAGUGGCUUACCAAGGCUUUGACGGGUAGCCGGCCUGAGAGGGCGACCGGCCACAUUGGGACUGAGAUACGGCCCAGACUCCUACGGGAGGCAGCAGUGGGGAAUAUUGCACAAUGGGCGGAAGCCUGAUGCAGCAACGCCGCGUGCGGGAUGACGGCCUUCGGGUUGUAAACCGCUUUCAGCAGGGGCGAAGCUUUUGUGACGGUACCUGCAGAAGAAGCACCGGCUAACUACGUG